RNAcentral lists this long non-coding RNA (7195 nucleotides) under Brassica rapa (field mustard). RNAcentral's name for it is "long non-coding RNA (BRAP_LNC006243)". The record is from RNAcentral. Lineage: Eukaryota; Viridiplantae; Streptophyta; Magnoliopsida; Brassicales; Brassicaceae.
GUGAAAUUACGCUCCAUUCUAUUAAACAAAGACAUUAGAAGUUGAAAAUAAUUCGUAAGAAACUAUUUAAUAAUGCUUUGGAGAGUUAUGCAAGGUAGCUUGUCAAUUAUCUAUGGGAACAAUCGUUCAAAGUAUACAAUAAUUUAUAACAUUGACUCAGCGAAUGAAUAAUUGAUAAAUAAUUAAUCAAGAAUCCACGACUUGCACAAAGUGUGAAGUAUUAUUUAGUGGUAAUGGAUAAUUGACCAAAUAUUGAAAAGGAGACUUAUCUUUUUUUUUUUGUGUAGGCAAUUUUGAUGGAGAUAUCUUGUGCCAGUCUGGAGGGAUUUCGAACAGGAAGGUAUCUUGUAGUUACCAGGUCCACAAGUGAGUAGAUUCCCUGGUUUAAUCCAUUUAUGAGAUGCAUCUCCCCAUUUCACUUCUUCUAGAGCUACCCAACCUAACCCUUGUACGAAUGCUCCUUCUAUCUGCAAAACAUGUUCAGGUUUCAGACACAAACGCAACACUCUUGUCUUAAUGAUUUCAAGUGGUUUUGUUUCAAGUACUUGUCCAAUAUCUAUGGCUGGGUUAAGAGAAUAUCCCAGGUCCAACUUUAUAUCGACCGUUUUUGUGUGAAAGUCACCGGUUAAUGUAUCGAUCUCAACUUCCGCAAAUGCAGCUCCGUAGGUGUAAUAUCUGAAUGGGUUUCCUUUACCGGAGAUCCAGUCAAAGCCAACAUCGGGAACAAUGUAAAAGCCAUGAGCAGAGAGGUCUAUUCGUUGAAAAUAGCAUGCACUUGCCAGCUACAUACCAAUCAAAACAAAGCAGGUUAAGAGAGUUUUAUUCAUCAAAAGGCAAAGAAUGUUUCAUUGAGUUACCUCAGCCAAGGAGUUGCCACUGAGCUUAGUGGCAAGAGGCUCCAUUCGUGCUUUAAUCUGCUCACACCGUACAUGUCAGAGCUCAGAGAAGCAGCGGUUGGUGACGCAUUUGGAACAUAGUUACAUCUUAUUUCUUAACACUUUAUAUUAUAAAUAUUACCUUGUCGGUGCUCGUCUCUGAUACAAAAACGGAACUAAGGGGAAUGUUAAAGGCAUAAGCAGCAACUUGAGAAACCUUUGUAUGCAAUCCUUGACCCAUCUCUACACCUCUAUGUGUCACCAAAACAGUACCGUCUGUGUACACAUACACAAGAGCACCUGCCUAACACCCAAAAAUUAAAAUGGAUAUAAGUAACAAAAACUCUGUUUCUUGCUUCUCAAGAAAUAGUAUUGCAAGAUAGACUUACCUGGUUCAUGAACGUUUUGGUAAAUGAUACGCCAAACUUUGUGGGAACCAUAGCCACACCACGCUUUUUCCACCGGUUGUGGCUAUUAAACUCGUCGACAUCUCUACGAGCCUUUAGAAAGUUGCAAGACACUUUCAGCUCCUUCCAGAGCUGAUGCAGUGUGCAAUGCUGAAUACACUGAGAGUAAUGUGUGAUAGAGCCUUCCACUUGAAAGUUCAUCUCCUAAAGUAACACCCAAGAAAGCAUCAAAACAUGAGAAAUAAUUCCUAUGAACUUUCAGGAACAUUAUGAUUUCUUCAGGGCUUCUAUUAAGUUCAGCUGCGAUUCUCUGGAUCCAGUUUUCGGUUAUAAGCAUGCCUUGCGGACCUCCAAAGCCUCGGAAAGCAGUGUUGCUAGGAUAGUUAGUAAAGCAAACGUUCCUCUGAUCCUCACAUGUGGAUCUCAUAGACAUUAUCAGAGUUAAACAUUGCAANNNNNNNNNNNNNNNNNNNNNNNNNNNNNNNNNNNNNNNNNNNNNNNNNNNNNNNNNNNNNNNNNNNNNNNNNNNNNNNNNNNNNNNNNNNNNNNNNNNNCACUUGAGUAGACGAUAUUCCUUAUUGUUGCAACCAUUGCAUAUUCCCCCGUCUCUUCAAUGGAAUUGUCAGAUAAUACGAAAGUGGUAAUAUAAGGGAUGGGGGUGAUGACGUUCAAAUGGGCUCAGAAACUGAACCGCACAAGACAUCCAACUUCGUAUACCGAUCCUUGUAUAUGAAUCCAUUGCACAUUCGACUGCAAGCAUAAAUCCGAAGGUAUCUAGCUCCUUGUUUGUAAAUAAGUGAGCCGUUCAUUGUGUAACACAUGCCUUUUCUUUUUAGGACAUUUAGCACAGCACUGAUGGAGAGAAAAAUCACAAUCCAACAUCCAUAAAAGGAUUGGAGACCAAUGGGAUGGGUGCAUGCGCUGCAUCGUUUUGGUAUCCCCUCAUACAAAACACCAUUCUCAUUGAAUCUGAGUAAUGCUCUUUGUGGCUGAAAUGUUGUAUUGUGUUGUCGUCUAUCACCACAUAUGGUUCUAUAUCUUCUUCUUCUUCAGGUACUCCUUCAAGCUCUUCAUGUUCCAAACAUCAUAUCUGGUAGCACAUUUAGAAUGAACAACAUAGUUAGGGCACGUCUGACAAGAAAUCCUCCACAAGUCCAGUCCCCUUCUUGUGACAAACUUCGCAUACGAGAAUUCAUAGCACCAUCACCAAGAAGCAAAGUACGAGAAACACGGUGAUCAUGUCGAUUGAUGUUAAUGACACGAGGAAGACCAAGACAGCCUUGAUGGAUCAUGAAAUCACAUUGAACACACAUGUAAGGGCUUCGAUCUCCCUUGAGCCCACAAGCAUUACAUGUGAAUGAAAGCAUCUUGGAAGAAGCUUGAGUUGGUGAUCAUGAGCUUUCAAGUUCAAAAGAGAUUGUGGUGGCGGAUUCACAACACAACGCCAAUCAAGGUGAAGUUACAAGAAAAAAAUGAUAAAACAAUUCUUUAUCAACCUUUCUUCCGCAAAGACGACAUUUACCAUCAGAAUAGUCAGGUGGUGGACCCUUGAAUAGCUUAAGAGGAUGCAAGAGUGAUAAGGGUGGUUUACCUCUGUUGAGUGCUCUAGUGCUGCUGGGUGCCAUACACAUUCCACAUGAAAGGCUACAGCAUCACAUUCAUUACAUUGGUAAUAAAAUCCACAAGAAAUCCUGCAGCAUAUGCAGAAGUCUUCCCGCAUUUUGCAGAACAGUGGAAGGCGCUCAGUUCCUUGACAAAUGUGAGCUUGUGGGGAUGCAUCUCAAAAUUUUCAAUAAUAUCUGGUGGUGGGUACUUGGCACAGUGUAGAUCCAUGUGGAAGUCACACAUCUCGCAACGAUAGGAUAGAUUUUGGAUUUUACUAUCACAUAUAUAGCAUACGUGAUCUUCUCGUUUUUCUUGAAGCCGGAGAGUGUGAUCGGGGUGAGAUGGGUGGUCGCUGAUGAAUUCAGACAGCUCGUCGCCACACUUCUUGUGCACGAAGAAAUCACAGAGUUUACAAUAGUAGCCAUCACUCUGAGGUUCAAAGCAAUCACAGCAAUCGCCUUUCCUCAUAUGAUGAUCAUUCCAAGGCGUCAUAGGAUGCUCGUGAAACAAUGGUAACAACACUCCUCCCUCAGAUUCCAUUUUGCUCUCUAGUAUACUAAAGAAGAUGAAGAAGAAGAAGGAAAGAUUGAAUAAGGGAGAUAGAUUCCUUGAAUAAUGGUGUGGUGUGUUUUCUCAAAGCUAUAUCUCUUCUCUCUGGCCACUCAAACUUAUCCCCUCUCAAGUUUCUUCUUUGUUUUCAUAUUUCGAUAAAGAAAAGGUUCCCUAUGCUUAAGUGGGGUUGUCAGCUUUGUUUUCUCUUUUACUUUUCUGGUUUUCUUUUUGCUUUUUCUCCAAAUGCGUAGUAUUGUCACUUAUCAGCUGCAUAACCGUAACGAAGAAAGAUGGUGGACGCUCAAGAAGCUAUAGUUCUGGCAGCAUUUGCCUCUUUCAGGAUAGCCUUGAUUUUUUUUCAUUAUAGUUGCAACUAUUUUGAUGACCAUGACCUAAGUUGAAGGUUAUGCAUCACUUUUGUUAUUUAGAUAGACGAUCAGCUGAGAAAUAAUUCUGGUUCAUUGUCGUCACUGUCUUUCUUGGAUAUAUCAUUAUAGAGACAUCGUUUCAGCUGUUUAAAAUCUUUCCUCGAGCAUGUUCUGAUUCAUUGAGUCCAGAGUUUCAAACCCGGGAUAAUAUAUGAAACAUAUCAAUCAGACUUUUUUUUAUAACAAACCUUUACCAAGCAUUUUACAUGUAAGACUGAGGGUUACUGUGCUCUUCGUUCUCAAGGGAAGAUAUUGCAGAAAACGUAGAGCUGAAAACAUUAGGAGAAACAAUAGUCUUGGAAGGAAAAACAGUCUCCAUUGAUAAAAAGUAGAUGAACACGGUGAUUGAUGUUAAUGACCCGUGGAAGGCCAAGACAGUCUUGAUGAAUCAUGAAACCACAUGGAACACAUAUGUAAGGGCUUUGAUCUCCCUUGAGGCCACAAGCAUUACAUGUAAAAAAAAAUCGAGUCUUGGAAGAAGAGUGAGCUGGUGAUCAUGAGUGGGGGGGUUCAAAACAAUUCUAAGGCAAAGACGACAUGUUCCAUCAAACACAAGGCAUAUCCAAGGUGAAGUUACAAGAAUAACAAUGAUAAAACAAUUCUUUAUCAAUCUCUCUUGUGUUUGGAGUUUGAUUUGGCUUUGAUGGCGACGAGGAACCGAACGACGGUGUACAGGAAACACAGAGACGCGUGCUCCUCUGUCUGAUUCGUUCGGUGGUCCGGUGAUCGAAAAUGGUUAGUGUUUGAUCCAAAAAUGGUGUUUAUCUUUGUGAUGUUUGUUGGAAUCAAUCAAAUAAAGAAUCUAAAGAUAAAAGCUUAGAUUCUUGAGGUUUAGGAGAAAUCUUAAAAGAAUCAAAUGAGAAAUGAACAUCAAAAGAGUUUAUUGAUUUAAGAUUGUAUUACAUGUAGGAUUACAAGUGUAAAUAAAUCUAAUAAUUCAUAAACCCUUUGUAAGAAGUGUUCUAAGUCUAAAAUGAAGAAGACCCCCCGUCUAAUAAGGAGAUAAUUCCUUAUUUAUAGAAGAAAGAUGACUAGAGUUUCAUAGUAAAAUGGGUCUAAUUUAUUGUCUAAUGGGCCUUGAGGUAGAAUGUAAAUCUACCCCCAACAAUAAGUCCCCCCAAGUUCGUAGAGAGAGAUGAAGUCGAUCUCUGUGAAUUUUACGAAUAGGGUUUAUUAGACAUAAACUAGACAAUUCAUGCCUAUGAUGGUUUAGGCGAGUUUACUUCGAACUUGUGCCUAGUAAAAGGCAAGUUUGCUUUAAACUCGUGCUUAGUGAAAGACGAGUUUACUUGACUCAUGCUGAGACAGAGGCGAAUUUACUGAGAACUCGUGCCUAGUAGUAGGAGAGUUUCUGUAAACUCAUGCCUUGUCAAAGAUGAGUUUUUGUAACUCGUGUCUAACAAUAAGUGAGUCUAAUGCAAUUUGUGCCUAAUAUAAAGCAAGUUGAAUUUAAACUCGUGCCUAGUAAAAAUAAGUUUACCGAACUUUGCCGACCCGAAGUCUCGUGUUGAGAUCGUGUGUGCCGAGCAAGUUAUUGGCUUGUGUGUUCGUCAGGCAUGAUGACGUAAGAAAGCGCCGGCUUGUGCUGAUUCAGACAAGUUUGUAGCUGAGAGAUCGCCAUUCCAAGCAUGAGGACAUGACAGUAGCACUCACUUGUUGAUUCUCUUUGGCUCAACGAUCUAAUCAACUCUGGUUCACAACAAAAAGCAUGAUCAGAUCAAGGUUAACCAAAAGAACCAGCCAAGUUUUGUAUAAUUGAUAAGCAAGCGAUAGUUUAACUUGUGUUAAUGCUCGGCUAUUGCAUAUGAUGUUAGUAAUUUAUCAAUUACUAAUCAUUAUGCACAGGUUGCAAACAACAAAUCAAUCAACCGUAAUUAUCUCAUAAAGGUUAUAAGAUACUUAUCUUUGAGGAUGAGCCUUGUUUGUAACUUGACAAAGAAGUUAUUGUGGACGUGAUGACAUUUUGUGCUGACGAUCUCAAUGGAUCGCUCUUAUCAGAGCUGAGAUGACGGUGAACUCAAAGCUGAUGACUUUAUCUUUGUUCCUCACUGUUGAGAGCUCGUUUCCUUUUGCAACCUCUUCUUCGUAUUUUUUUUUUUGAGAUGACAAACUCGUAUGCCGUUCAUGUUCAAAGCGGAGGUUAAGCAUGAAGCGUCGAGAGAGUACCACAGGCCUAGUGAGGAAGAUAACUUAGGGAGUGUGCAUGAGCUUGAGCCUCUUGAUCCUUGAACUUGAGCUCGAGCUUCUUGAUGGCUGACGUGCGUGCAUGACCUUUAGCCUCGUGACCGUCGAGCAAGUGAUGGAGCUUUAGGCCCGCAAGAAGCUUCGUUGAUGGAGCUUUGAAGACGUCAUGGUGAUGAAGCCAUAAGAAACCGGGUGCCGAGAUCACAUGAUCACCUCUGUUUCUCGGCGGUGUACCGGACGAGCUUGAACUUACAUUGUUGUUUGGCGUUGACUUGUGCCUAGUAAAUCACAUGACUGUUGCUCGGCGUUAACCCGCACGAUCUCAAGGCUUCUGUCGCAACAAGAGCAGUCAUCGACGAGGUGAGACGAGAUGGACCUUGAACGGAGGCACGCAAACGAGGCCUUGAAGAGCUUGCCGGUAAUGACGUGCUUGUCUAGAGAGCUUUCUUGAAGAAGCAAGACCUUGUUGGAGAGGUUGUCAUCGACAUGAUCAUAACCAAUUGAACCUUCUCCUCGUCAUGAAGGAGCUCUCCUCCUAUUCUCACGCUCAUGCCAAGGUUAAAGCCUUGUCGGGUAGAAAGAUGCGACCGAUUCCCUUGCUGUGUGAAAGCAAAGGCCAGAGCUGUCCUUGGGCUUCUUGGGAUACAGCGAUCUCGGGAUGAAGAAGAGACAGCACUUGCUACACGGUCUCGUCUUAAAGAUGAGGCAAGAACUUCCUGUCACUCGGUUUCGUCUUUAACGAAGACGAGGAGCUUGUACUAUCCCGUCAGUGGGCGAGCUUGUGUGAUGCAGUGAUCAAGCUCGUUUAUCAGACGAGAGCCAGAAAUGAGCAGGGUCUGUAAGCUUCCGAGCUGACUGGUAUGGCCUAGCCCUAGUUCACCGUAAAUUACGCUCCAUUCUAUUAAAACAAAGACAUUAGAAGUUGAAAUAAUUCGUAAGAAACUAUUUAAUAAUGCUUUGGAGAGUUAUGCAAGGUAGCUUGUCAAUUAUCUAUGGGAACAAUCGUUCAAAGUAUACAAUAAUUUAUAACAUUGACUCAGCGAAUGAAUAAUUGAUAAAUAAUUAAUCAAGAAUCCACGACUUGCACAAAGUGUGAAGUAUUAUUUAGUGGUAAUGGAUAAUUGACCAAAAUAUUGAAAAGGAG